Molecule: ribosomal RNA, 736 nt
Filed under: Elsinoe randii
Lineage: Eukaryota; Fungi; Ascomycota; Dothideomycetes; Myriangiales; Elsinoaceae
Description: eukaryotic LSU rRNA
Rfam family: Eukaryotic large subunit ribosomal RNA
Source: RNAcentral
GGCGUCCGAGUUGUAAUUUGUAGAGGAUGCUAUUGGGUUGCCACCGGUCUAAGUUCCUUGGAACAGGACGUCACAGAGGGUGAGAAUCCCGUACGUGACCGGCCAGGCGCUCUCUGUAUAGCUCCUUCGACGAGUCGGGUUGUUUGGGAAUGCAGCCCUAAAUGGGAGGUAAAUUUCUUCUAAAGCUAAAUACCGGCCAGAGACCGAUAGCGCACAAGUAGAGUGAUCGAAAGAUGAAAAGCACUUUGGAAAGAGAGUUAAAAAGCACGUGAAAUUGUUGAAAGGGAAGCGCUUGCAAUCAGUCUCGACGGCGGCUGUUCGGCCUCUCUUCUGAGUGGUUUAUUCAGUCGCCGCCGGGCCAGCAUCAGUUUUGGCGGCCGGAUAAAGGCGCGGGGAAUGUAGCUCCCUCGGGAGUGUUAUAGCCCCGCGUGCAAUACGGCCCGCCGGGACUGAGGUCCGCGCUUCGGCUAGGAUGCUGGCGAAAUGGUUGUAAGCGGCCCGUCUUGAAACACGGACCAAGGAGUCUAACAUCUACGCGAGUGUUUGGGUGUCAAACCCGUGCGCGCAAUGAAAGUGAACGGAGGUGGGAACCGCAAGGUGCACCAUCGACCGAUCCUGAUGUCUUCGGAUGGAUUUGAGUAAGAGCGUAGCUGUUGGGACCCGAAAGAUGGUGAACUAUGCGUGAAUAGGGUGAAGCCAGAGGAAACUCUGGUGGAGGCUCGCAGCGGUUCUGACG